UGGCAUCCAGGGAAACAAUUCAGACUGGAAAGGGCCGGAUCCCAAUAUCCCCUUCAUGAGUGUGUCCCAAUGACCUUCCUAAACAAAUCACCUCUCCUCAAUUUCCUGCAUCCGAGCCCCUGAGAGUACAGGGCAAAUCUCCAACCUCUGACUAUCUUUCAGAGUCCUGAUUUCUCUGCCAGAUGUCCCACAUCCUGAUCACCUUUGUGGCCGCCACCUUUGAAUUGACAGGUCCUGGAGACAUUGAAAGGAUGGAUACAACCAGUGAGAGGCAGAAUACGGAGAGUGUACUGAAGAAUUGAGAGCCAAGACGAAUUGAACUGCCUUUCUAGUCACGUGUUGUCUCUAAGUUUUGUGAUACAGUAAACUUACAGUAGCUUUAACAAUCUCUUGUCAUUUUAAUGACUAUAUAAGACAGAAUGAACGUGCUAGCCAAGUGUCUGCUAAAAAAUA
RNAcentral lists this small RNA (453 nucleotides) under Rattus norvegicus (Norway rat). RNAcentral describes it as "uncharacterized LOC102553546". Lineage: Eukaryota; Metazoa; Chordata; Mammalia; Rodentia; Muridae. The record is from RNAcentral.